Molecule: ribosomal RNA, 142 nt
Filed under: uncultured Alphaproteobacteria bacterium
Lineage: Bacteria; Pseudomonadati; Pseudomonadota; Alphaproteobacteria
Description: partial 16S ribosomal RNA
Rfam family: Bacterial small subunit ribosomal RNA
Source: RNAcentral
AGCGUUGCUCGGAAUUACUGGGCGUAAAGGGAGCGUAGGCGGGUUAUCAAGUUGGGGGUGAAAGCCCGGGGCUCAACCUCGGAACUGCCUUCAAAACUGAUAGCCUAGAGUACGGGAGAGGUAUGUGGAACUCCGAGUGUAG